This 462-nucleotide unclassified non-coding RNA is filed under the name Nostoc cf. lichenoides JT1-VF7. RNAcentral's name for it is "16S-23S ribosomal RNA intergenic spacer". The record is from RNAcentral. Lineage: Bacteria; Bacillati; Cyanobacteriota; Cyanophyceae; Nostocales; Nostocaceae.
AAUAGGGAGACCAACUGAAGCAGGGGGAGCAGGGGAAGCAGAGGAGCAGGGGGAGAAAGAAGCCCUCAAGCGAACUAACGCUAACCAAGCACAACCCAAAUAGGAUGAAAAAUACUCUAAACACAAAGUUCAUCCCUUCAGUCAUCCCAGGUCGGUCGAGAUUGAUGCUAUUGGCUUUCAAACUAUAUUUGGUUCAAGUCUAAUGAGUGUUGUAGAACCACCCAUCAACAAGUUCGGUUCUGCCCACUGUUGAGGGGCGAAUUAUCUAGUACAUUAGUAUUGAUGGCUAAAGAGCCAAGUAAAUGAAACUUCUUCAGCACCUUAUCUAGUAGAGCUAGAGAGAAUGCUGGAGUUAAAAUCCAGACAGAACCUUGAAAAUUACAUAGCAACUUGUCAGGUAGAAAGCAUUGAUUGUUAAUAGUUAACAGUCAAUAGCGAUCGCAGACACCAAUUGUUGAUUGU